Molecule: non-coding RNA, 2699 nt
Organism: Meleagris gallopavo (turkey)
Lineage: Eukaryota; Metazoa; Chordata; Aves; Galliformes; Phasianidae
Source: RefSeq, a predicted model, not a curated record
CAGAAGCCUUAAUUAACACUUACUGCACAAGAUCUGCCAACCUGCUGUGCAUAGGCAGUAAAUAAAAAAAGGAACUAAAGGAAUAGUCCUGUUCAUUUAUCUGUCUAAGCUGAGCCAAGCAAAGAGUAGCCGGUGCAGGGAUUUAACAGAAUAGCAUCUUAAUUGCUUAUCAGGAUGAGAGAGUCUACUCUUUUUCUGUAGUAAAUCUUCAGGCCGGACCAUGUGGCAAACAGCAUGAAAGCCUUGGUGCCACCAACUGGAGGAGAGGCUGUGGACCAGAGGGGUCUGUAAGCUGAGGACAAGCAAGUGCGUGAAGUCCAGCCUUGCAUAAACCAACUGACCAGAACCAGCUGUCAGCAAAUCUCUGUGUGAUGUUAGCAAAUCUUCAUCCUGAUCAUCAGGCAUGUUCUAUAUGGAUAAUAUGACACUAGCAAAAUUCCACUGCCACUUCCACAAUUCUGGUGACUUUCAGCAGAAAACAACUAACUUCAGUCUAUAGCAAUAUUUAUGAACUAACAUGUGGGAACUAAGAAGAAAUUUUUGAAUAAUUAUUACUUUCCUGUGGUCAGUUAUGUAAGUAUUGAAUAUCUUAAUUCUUAAAGACAAUUUCCUAAUUCUUAAAGACAUUUUCCUAAUUCUUAAAGACAUUUUCACACACGCUUCCAUGUUUUUUGGAUGUUUCUUGCUGGCUAUGUAUAAGCUUAGCAGGUAUGACCGCGGCACGUAUGAUACUUCUCAUCAGCAGCUGUUUCUGAAUUUCACACCCAGAAUGGAAUGUGUAUCCAUGAACAUAGACUUAAAUCUUUGAGAAAUGGCUUACUUUCAUGAAGAUGACACAAAUUUGUUAACAUUGUGAAAUUUUCUCCUGGAUGUCAGCGUAAAUUACAAUGUCUUCAAGUUAACUAUUAAUUAUUGAUGAGAUUUUAAAAUUAAUUUAUUGAGGAAAUUUCCUAAAAUUAAAAUAUGCUUAACCUUCCCUAAUUGUCAGGAAAAAAGCAACAGCAUAAGAAUACUCAGCUUCACUCUCAUAUUUGAAUGAAUGUUCCAUUUAAUAUUUAAGAUGUUCUAAUGAUUACUGUGUUUGUUGUAAAAUUACACAAAGCUCCAAACAGGCCUAAUUUAAAGCCUACUAAAACCUUUGAAUAAAUUUCAUUGUCUUCAUUGGUAAUUGGAUCAGACUUCUGGACAAAAGGAAUAAUGACAAAUAAUGAGUAAGAGAACAAAAAUAAACCUGGUUCUCUCAUGAACACAAGGUAAAAGCUACCAUGUAUAAUGUAAAAAUGCAAGUGGGGAAAGUAACAAAAAGACAAACAAAAAACACAAAUGGGAUAUCCUGAACAACAUGCUCAAUCAGAUCAUUUCAACGAUAUGCUUGCUGGUGACCUUCCACUAGGCGAUAAGCAUAACUGGAAAUUGUAAUGUAUUACGAAUUCCAAUGAACAGUUCAAAAGCUCAAACUCUCUUUUGUCUGCCAGUCAUUAAUUCAUACAGGGAGGGAAUGUUUCACAGUUAGUGUGAGUGUGCUAGCAUGUAAUUCAACAUGUGCUAAACAUCAAUGAAUCCUAUCUUAAAAUACAUACAUAUGCUCCAGAUAAUGACUUCUAGAAUUUGCAAAACUAUUAUUUCUCAUUUUCACUUUGAAUGUGUACAAUACUCAGUGGAAAUUUCAGUUGUGCUUGUGUCCUGAUAAAGGCAAAACUAUUUCUAUAACCUAAAACUCUUUCCUGAAGACUCAGAAGUUGUCAGAUUCUUUUUUUGUGUUUUUUUGUUUGUUUGUUUGUUUGUUGCUUUUGUUUUUGUUUUUGUUUUUGUUUUUUUUGUCUAGACUUCAUAUUGUCAUCUAGAGAUAACUUUAUCCCUGCAAGUAUGACAAUUUUUCCCAUCACCAGUGUUAUAUUUACUGCUACAUUUUUAUGUAAGGUACAAUAAUAUCACAUUAUACAUUUCUCAUUUGUUCAUUACUUCUUUUUUCCCUUAGAUUUCUAAACCUUUCAUUGAGUAGAGAUUUAUUGGUGCUUGUUUGCCCGACUUAGUUAGUUAUCUAGCUACUCAUAUAAUUUUAAGACAAGUUGAUAUUUAUCUGGUAGAGAAUUAUACCUUUCAUGAAAAUAUAGUAAACAUAAUUUUGGCCAUUCUGUACCACUCUUUAAAUAGAUAUUUCCAUUUAGAUAACCUGCAUAAAAAGAAAUGAAAAGUCAGUCUAAAAGCGAAGACUGGAAAAUAGAGGUGAAUCACAAAAGGCAAAUUCUGUCAUGUUUGUAUUACCUUUGUUGAAUUAAGUACUUGGUCAUAAAAGCCUCACUGUUUGCUAAUUUGUAGCUGAACGGAGAUGCUAGUAUACAUGAAGCCCUAUUAAAACCCAGAAGGAGCUAUUCAUGCCUUAGAGGCUGCCUGUUUAUAGUUUCAGAGGAUUCUAGGCCUAUGUACCAAAAAUCCUGGCAGAGAACUCAGUAUACUGCUAUUCCAGUAUAUUUUUACUAACCUAAAUGACGUCAGUUUCCAAAAUUGUUCAGUGAAGUUGAUGAUUAAAUUAUAAACUUUAAAUAUUGCAAAAUAUGAGUUAUGUUUUCACAAGGAGAAGGAUAUAUAUCACGCUGGAGGUUUUUAAUAGAACAUAUUCAGAGAGUUUCAAAAAUAUGUUUCCCUUGUUGUUUUGUAAGAUGACAAUUAUUGACCUUGUAUGCAGAUAUAUAUAAAAA